This is a small nuclear RNA of Lemur catta (Ring-tailed lemur), 104 nucleotides long. NCBI's taxonomy places the organism in Eukaryota, Metazoa, Chordata, Mammalia, Primates, Lemuridae. The record is from RefSeq and is a predicted model, not a curated record.
GCGCUCACUUCAGCAGCACAUAUACUAAAAAUUGGAACAAUACAGAGAUUACCAUGCCCCUGCAUGAGGAUGACAUGCAAAUUCGUGAAGCAUUCCAUAACAAA